AACGAAUGCCAAGGGCGAAGAUUUGUUCCCGCAAACAAACGCAGCGCAGCAGAGCUUUUCACUCCUCUGCUCUGCCAAAUUUAAUUUUGCGGACAUGGUAGAACCAGAUUCUUCAAAUUUCAGUCUCCUUCGGUAAUCCUCUCUCUAUCUAUAUUCAAAUUUACUUUACUCGUUGAAGAAAUUAGCUCCAUUUUUCUUGAUUUUUCCCAUGAAUCUAACGCAAAAAUCAAUUAAAUCUACUUGUUCAAAUGGAGAAUUACUUAUUAGUUUCAAGAAUCUUCAUUCAAGACUGAAUUUUUCAUCAUCAAAUUGUGUCCAAAUUCUAACAGAUUAUAGUGGGUCUGGCAGACCCUUUUCAAACCCUCUGCAUAACUUUCUACCUAAAACCCAAAACCCCCAAAACACAGUGAGUCUGAUAUGUUCAGCUCUAAAGAACAGAAACAAUGACCAUUUGUCCCUCCUUCAGAAAACCAUCCAAGAUAAUGGGCUUAUUAGUUAUUUCAGUAACAGUGAAAUCUCAAGGGUUCUGUUGAGAUGCCAGUCUGAUUCAUGUAGUGCUCUUAGUUUCUUUAACUGGGUCAAGAAUGAUUUGGGUGUGGAGCCUAACACUCAAAACUACUGUCUUGUAAUUCAUAUACUGACUUGGACAAGGAACUUUUCACAAGCAAUGAAAUUUUUGUCUGAAUUGGUUGAUUUGAAGAGAGAUGGAAUGGAGAGUGUGGAUGUGUUUGAAAGUUUGCUUUCAUCUAGUGGUCUGUGUAAUUGGGACCCUGUUGUGUUUGAUAUGCUAAUUAAGGCUUUUCUCAAGGUAAACAUGGUGAAAGAUGGAUUUAGAGCGUUUAGAAAGACGGUGAAGCAUGGAAUGUACCCGAGUGUUAUUACUGUGAACUGCCUUUUAACUGGUCUUUCAAAGUUGAAUUAUAGCAAAAAAUGUUGGGAAGUUUAUGCUGAAAUGGAAAGAAUUGGAGUGCACCCGAAUUCGUGUACCUUUAAUUUAUUAACCCAUGUCUUGUGCAAGGAUGAAGAUGUGAACAAGGUUAAUGAAUUCUUGGAGAAAAUGGAAGAAGAAGGGUUUCAACCUGAUAUAGUUACAUAUAAUACUUUAGUUAGUAGCUAUUGUAGGAAAGGAAGAAUGAAAGAUGCAGUUCACUUGUAUCAAAUUAUGUACGUUAGAGAUGUAUCACCAGAUUUGUUCACAUAUACUUCUUUGAUAAAUGGCUUUUGUAAAAAGGGAAAUGUGAAAGAUGCUCAUCAGUUGUUUAUAAGGAUGGCUGACAGAGGGUUAAAACCAGAUGUUAUUUUGUAUAACACUCUUAUUUAUGGUUAUUGCAAAGAGGGGAUGAUGCAAGAGGCACGUUUUCUGUUGCAUGACAUGAUUGGAGAAGGGAUGUAUCCUGAUAAGUUCACUUGUUCAGUUCUUGUACAAGGAUAUCAAAAACAGGAUAAUUUGGUUUCAGCUGUGAAUUUAGUCACCGAGCUUCAAAGAUUUAGAUUUGUAGUAUCUCAUGAUAUAUACAAUUAUCUUAUUGCUGCACUUUGUAUUGAGAAUCGACCAUUUGCAGCCAAAGCUCUAAUUGAUAGAGUAUCUGGCAACAGAUAUGAGCCUGGCAAUAUGGUCUACGGGGAGUUGAUUGAAUCUUUCUGCAGAUGCAAUUUCCCCGAUGAGGCUUUAUGCUUGAAAGCAGAGAUGGUAUCAAAAUAUUUGAAGCCUGAUAUUGGUACAUAUAGAGCUAUAAUUAAAUGUUUGUGUAAAUUAGGCCGAAGCAUGGAUGCUAACUCCUUGAUGAGAGAAAUGACUGAUUGUGAUGUGCCACCUGAUAUUGAAGUCUGUAGAGCUUUAAUAAAUGGUCAAUGUGGGGAGAACAAUUUCUGUGAGGCUCAGUCGCUGUUAAGCUUCUUUGCUCAAGAAUUUAAAAUAUUUGACACAGUUUGUUACAACACAAUUGUCAGGCUUCUAAGUGGUGAAGGUGAUAUUGCAAAAUUGAUGAAAUUUCAAGAUAAAAUGAGGAAAGUGGGUUUUGCGCCAAAUCAGCUGACAUGCAAGUACGUUAUUGAUGGAUUACAGAACGCUGUGGGAGUCCACAAAAUCAACAGCUGAGUGCAGUAAUGAGUGUCGGUCCAGAUGGUCAUUCAUAGAACUCUCCGAAUGUAAUAUCUUUUUCUUUGGGCAGUUCAGUCUUUGGUGGCAAUGAUUUUCUCCGUUAAGAUGACAUUGCUGCAGUGGAUCUCAAAUGACUUUAGCUUCUUUACUGAAAGGUGCUUGGAUUCACACAUCUUGAGAUUAGACACGGAGGUUCUUGAUCUUGACAUUUCAGAAAUAGAGGAUCAAUCACUUCAGGGUACAAGGUUAUGAAAUAUGAAGCUAUAUUACUUGCAGAAGGAUUGACAUUGGUUUCUGUUAGAGUUGAACUUAAAGAUCCUCAGUACUAGAACCACAGAUCAAGUUUGAAUGAUAUGCUCACUGGUUCUCUGUGUUUGGUUUUCAGCUGUAUUAUGGUUCCUUCAUGGCUGACCUAAAUUUGGAAUUAGUAGUGGAUGGCUAAAGAAGGUGUCAAUUCUCAAAGGUCAGAUCCUGCUUCCAUAGUAUUGGAGGUCACCUGUAUUUUCCAGUUAAUUGUGAAGAUUUCUGUUAAUAUCAAAAGCACCGACCUUUGCUGCUAUGAAUUGGUUCUAAUACAAGGGAGGAAACAAUGAAAAGCUUCUUCAGAUUUAAAGUUGGUUUUUGACAUGCAGAUGCACAUAUGGGGUGGUAGAACUUCCUUUAAGAUUUUCCUUUGUCAGGAAUCUCAUUCAGCCUCUCUAUCUUCACAAGGUAGGAUAAGGCUGCAUAGACCCUACCUGUUGUAGGGAACUCAUCUCAAAACAAGACCCUGUACCCUGCUGUUCAAGAGUUUAUACAUUGUUGAAGCUAAUGUAUCUGUCUGCUUAUAUAAGAUGCUUCUGUUAUCCUUUCA
This is an RNA transcript of Solanum stenotomum, 2954 nucleotides long. It is a transcript of the gene named pentatricopeptide repeat-containing protein At5g40400, with no coding region annotated. The record is from RefSeq and is a predicted model, not a curated record. The transcript has 3 exons. Lineage: Eukaryota; Viridiplantae; Streptophyta; Magnoliopsida; Solanales; Solanaceae.